This is a long non-coding RNA of Leopardus geoffroyi (Geoffroy's cat), 122 nucleotides long. RefSeq lists it as uncharacterized. The record is from RefSeq and is a predicted model, not a curated record. The transcript is spliced from 3 exons. NCBI's taxonomy places the organism in Eukaryota, Metazoa, Chordata, Mammalia, Carnivora, Felidae.
UCAGACGAGUGCACUUCCAGUCUCCAGAGGUGAUCUCUGAAAAUGGCUCGCUAUUCACUUGACCCGGAAAACCCGACAAAAUCAUGCAAAUCAAGAGGUUCAAAUCUUCGUGUUCACUCUUA